This 253-nucleotide ribosomal RNA is filed under the name uncultured bacterium. Its description in RNAcentral is "partial 16S ribosomal RNA". It matches the Rfam family "Bacterial small subunit ribosomal RNA", at positions 524 to 776 of the family's 1533-position model. The record is from RNAcentral.
UACGGAGGGUGCAAGCAUUAAUCGGAUUUAUUGGGCGUAAAGGGCGCGUAGACGGGAAGAAAAGUCAGACGUGAAAUCCCGGGGCUCACCCCCGGAACUGCGUUUGAAACUCUCUUUCUAGAGGGUAGGCGGAGAAAACAGAAUUCCACGUGUAGCGGUGAAAUGCGUAGAUAUGUGGAAGAAUACCGGUGGCGAAGGCGGUUUUCUAGCUUAUACCUGACGUUGAGGCGCGAAAGCAAGGGGAGCAAACAGG